RNAcentral lists this ribosomal RNA (256 nucleotides) under uncultured bacterium. RNAcentral describes it as "partial 16S ribosomal RNA". It matches the Rfam family "Bacterial small subunit ribosomal RNA", at positions 61 to 305 of the family's 1533-position model. The record is from RNAcentral.
AGAAAUCUUUAUUUCAAGGCUUCGGCCGAGAAAUAUUGAUGGACAGCGGCAAACGGGUGAGUAACACGUAGAUAAUAUGCCCUUUAGCGGGGGAUAACAUCGGGAAACUGGUGCUAAUACCGCAUAUAAUCACAUUCAUAUUGAUUGUGAUGAAAGGACUUCGGUUCACUAAAGGAUUAGUCUGCGGUCCAUUAGCUAGUUGGUGGGGUAAAUGCCUACCAAGGCGAUGAUGGAUAGCCGACCUGAAAGGGUGAUC